This 72-nucleotide transfer RNA is filed under the name Sporosarcina sp. P18a. RNAcentral's name for it is "tRNA-Asn". It matches the Rfam family "tRNA". From Rfam's summary of the family: Transfer RNA (tRNA) molecules are approximately 80 nucleotides in length. Their secondary structure includes four short double-helical elements and three loops (D, anti-codon, and T loops). Lineage: Bacteria; Bacillati; Bacillota; Bacilli; Caryophanales; Caryophanaceae. The record is from RNAcentral.
UCCAAAGUAGCUCAGCGGUAGAGCAAUCGGCUGUUAACCGAUCGGUCGCAGGUCCGAUUCCUGCCUUUGGAG